AUACGGAGGAUCCGAGCGUUAUCCGGAUUUAUUGGGUUUAAAGGGUGCGCAGGCGGCCAUUUAAGUCAGCGGUUAAAUCGUGGGGCUCAACCCCAUUCUGCCGUUGAUACUGGGUGGCUUGAUUGCGGUCGAGGUUGGCGGAAUUCGUUGUGUAGCGGUGAAAUGCAUAGAUAUGACGAAGAACACCGAUUGCGUAGGCAGCUGACCAGACCGCAAAUGACGCUCAUGCACGAAAGUGCGGGGAUCGAACAGGAUUAGAUACCCUGGUAGUCCACGCCGUAAACGAUGGGCGCUCGUCGUCGGCGGCAGACAGUCGGCGGCCAAGCGAAAGCGAUAAGCGCCCCACCUGGGGAGUACGGUCGCAAGGCUGAAACUUAAAUGAAUUGGCGGGG
Molecule: ribosomal RNA, 392 nt
Filed under: uncultured bacterium
Lineage: Bacteria
Description: partial 16S ribosomal RNA
Rfam family: Bacterial small subunit ribosomal RNA
Source: RNAcentral